RNAcentral lists this ribosomal RNA (1002 nucleotides) under Neisseria gonorrhoeae. Its description in RNAcentral is "bacterial SSU rRNA". It matches the Rfam family "Bacterial small subunit ribosomal RNA", at positions 534 to 1533 of the family's 1533-position model. The record is from RNAcentral. Lineage: Bacteria; Pseudomonadati; Pseudomonadota; Betaproteobacteria; Neisseriales; Neisseriaceae.
GCGAGCGUUAAUCGGAAUUACUGGGCGUAAAGCGGGCGCAGACGGUUACUUAAGCAGGAUGUGAAAUCCCCGGGCUCAACCCGGGAACUGCGUUCUGAACUGGGUGACUCGAGUGUGUCAGAGGGAGGUGGAAUUCCACGUGUAGCAGUGAAAUGCGUAGAGAUGUGGAGGAAUACCGAUGGCGAAGGCAGCCUCCUGGGAUAACACUGACGUUCAUGUCCGAAAGCGUGGGUAGCAAACAGGAUUAGAUACCCUGGUAGUCCACGCCCUAAACGAUGUCAAUUAGCUGUUGGGCAACUUGAUUGCUUGGUAGCGUAGCUAACGCGUGAAAUUGACCGCCUGGGGAGUACGGUCGCAAGAUUAAAACUCAAAGGAAUUGACGGGGACCCGCACAAGCGGUGGAUGAUGUGGAUUAAUUCGAUGCAACGCGAAGAACCUUACCUGGUUUUGACAUGUGCGGAAUCCUCCGGAGACGGAGGAGUGCCUUCGGGAGCCGUAACACAGGUGCUGCAUGGCUGUCGUCAGCUCGUGUCGUGAGAUGUUGGGUUAAGUCCCGCAACGAGCGCAACCCUUGUCAUUAGUUGCCAUCAUUCGGUUGGGCACUCUAAUGAGACUGCCGGCGACAAGCCGGAGGAAGGUGGGGAUGACGUCAAGUCCUCAUGGCCCUUAUGACCAGGGCUUCACACGUCAUACAAUGGUCGGUACAGAGGGUAGCCAAGCCGCGAGGCGGAGCCAAUCUCACAAAACCGAUCGUAGUCCGGAUUGCACUCUGCAACUCGAGUGCAUGAAGUCGGAAUCGCUAGUAAUCGCAGGUCAGCAUACUGCGGUGAAUACGUUCCCGGGUCUUGUACACACCGCCCGUCACACCAUGGGAGUGGGGGAUACCAGAAGUAGGUAGGGUAACCGCAAGGAGUCCGCUUACCACGGUAUGCUUCAUGACUGGGGUGAAGUCGUAACAAGGUAGCCGUAGGGGAACCUGCGGCUGGAUCACCUCCUUUCUAG